This 253-nucleotide ribosomal RNA is filed under the name uncultured bacterium. Its description in RNAcentral is "partial 16S ribosomal RNA". It matches the Rfam family "Bacterial small subunit ribosomal RNA", at positions 524 to 776 of the family's 1533-position model. The record is from RNAcentral.
AACGUAGGUUCCGAGCGUUAUCCAGAUUUACUGGGCGUAAAGCGCGUUCAGGCGGUUUGGCAAGUCGGGCAUGAAAUCCUUCGGCUCAACCGGGGGAGGUUGUCCGAUACUGCUGAACUGGAGGGCAGUAGAGGGUGGUGGAAUUCCGGGUGUAGUGGUGAAAUGCGUAGAGAUCCGGAGGAACACCAGUGGCGAAAGCGGCCACCUGGACUGCACCUGACGCUGAAACGCGAAAGCUAGGGGAGCGAACGGG